UGGGGAAUCAUGGUCAAUGGGCGAAAGCCUGAACCUGCGACGCCGCGUGAUUGAUGAAGGUCGUAAGAUCGUAAAACUCUUUUCAGGGAUCUUAAAGCCUGUCUGUCAACAACAGGCAGGUCUGACUCUCCCUGGAAGAAGCCCCAGCCAACUACGUGCCAGCAGCUGCGGUAAUACGUAGGGGGCGAGCGUUAUUCGGAAUUACUGGGUGUAAAGUGUAUGUAGGCGGCCCUUCAAGUCGCGUGUCAAAGUCCAGUGCUCAACGCUGGGUGUGCACGCGAUACUGACGGGCUUGAGGGCUGGAGAGGUGAGCGGAAUUCCCGGUGUAGUGGGAAAAUACGUCGAGAUUGGGAGGAACACCAGCGGCGCAGGCGGCUCACUAGACAGUUUCUGACGCUAAGAUACGAAAGAGUGGGGAGCAAACA
Molecule: ribosomal RNA, 425 nt
Filed under: uncultured prokaryote
Description: bacterial SSU rRNA
Rfam family: Bacterial small subunit ribosomal RNA
Source: RNAcentral